This 409-nucleotide ribosomal RNA is filed under the name bacterium. RNAcentral describes it as "partial 16S ribosomal RNA". It matches the Rfam family "Bacterial small subunit ribosomal RNA", at positions 355 to 776 of the family's 1533-position model. The record is from RNAcentral.
UGGGGAAUAUUGCACAAUGGGCGAAAGCCUGAUGCAGCGACGCCGCGUGAGGGAUGACGGCCUUCGGGUUGUAAACCUCUUUCAGCAGGGACGAAGCGCAAGUGACGGUACCUGCAGAAGAAGCACCGGCUAACUACGUGCCAGCAGCCGCGGUAAUACGUAGGGUGCAAGUGUUGUCCGGAAUUACUGGGCGUAAAGAGUUCGUAGGCGGUUUGUCGCGUCGUUUGUGAAAACCAGCAGCUCAACUGCUGGCUUGCGGGCGAUACGGGCAGACUUGAGUACUGCAGGGGAGACUGGAAUUCCUGGUGUAGCGGUGAAAUGCGCAGAUAUCAGGAGGAACACCGGUGGCGAAGGCGGGUCUCUGGGCAGUAACUGACGCUGAGGAACGAAAGCGUGGGUAGCGAACAGG